CAAAAAGCCAAAUUGUUUUUUUGGGGUUAUUUCAGAAUGACGUGACGUCUGAUGGCUCUAUUCCUUUUAUAGGUCUUCUUGAUACGCAUUGAAUCCUGACCUGGGAUGGAAAGUAAUUUUUGUGAACAUAUUUACAGAAUGAUGUGUAAUAGAUCUAGCAAAGGCUGAAGGCUGGUAAUAGUGACUGAUGUAGUACCGUGGAGAAAAGAAACCUGAACACUGCUCUCCGAGGAGGCUGAGCGAGGAGUGAGGGCUGGUAUGUUGAAUGCCUCUGAUAAGCUGAAUCUUGAAUCCAGCCUUGUCGUGGUUUGCUUGCUGUAUAAUCUCAUUAAGCCAGUGGGGACUGCACUGAGGAAAAAUCACCGGAGAAUUUUUUGUAUUCUGUAGCUGACAAAGGGAAUGUCCUGAAUUUAUUCUACUGGCAUGGUUUUACUUUCAGGUGCUUUUUCAGCAGGAAGGGGCAAUCUGACAUCUUGUCUGAGAACAACCUGACUGGCCCUUGCUGGAUACUGGUUUGUAGAAGGCACUGAUGGAUGCUUCCCCCUGUGAAAGGAGGACCUCCCAUCAAUAACUUCUGGUCAGCAACUUCCAUGCCACACGGGCUCAUCUCAAAGGCUUAUGCCAUGAAGAGAAGAAGCACCACCAGUUUUGCAGAGUAUGGUCCUGGCAGGUGGAGAGAUGAAAGGCCUUUACAGGCAAUGAUCUACAGAGCAAAAGCAGAUCAUUACCUCAUGAAUGAGGUUCUGCUUUUUAAACAGUGA
This 761-nucleotide long non-coding RNA is filed under the name Calidris pugnax (ruff). Its description in RNAcentral is "lncRNA (ENSCPUG00000003501.1)". The record is from RNAcentral. Lineage: Eukaryota; Metazoa; Chordata; Aves; Charadriiformes; Scolopacidae.